UAAGCGGAGGAAAAGAAACUAACAAGGAUUCCCCUAGUAACGGCGAGUGAAGCGGGAAGAGCUCAAAUUUGAAAUCUGGUGGCCUCAGGUCAUCCGAGUUGUAAUCUAUAGAAACGUUUUCCGUGCUGGCUCAUGUACAAGUCCCUUGGAACAGGGCGUCAUAGAGGGUGAGAAUCCCGUCCUUGACAUGAACUACCAGUGCUCUGUGAUACGUUUUCAACGAGUCGAGUUGUUUGGGAAUGCAGCUCAAAAUGGGUGGUAAAUUCCAUCUAAAGCUAAAUAUUGGCGAGAGACCGAUAGCGAACAAGUACCGUGAGGGAAAGAUGAAAAGCACUUUGGAAAGAGAGUUAAACAGUAUGUGAAAUUGUUAAAAGGGAAACGAUUGAAGUCAGUCGUGCUCUUUGGAUUCAGCCGGUUCUGCCGGUGUACUUCCAUUGAGUGGGGUCAACAUCAGUUUUGAUCGCUGGAUAAAGGCAGGAAGAAGGUAGCACCUCCGGGUGAACUUAUAGCUUUCUGUCGCAUACAGUGGUUGGGACUGAGGAACGCAGCAUGCCUUUAUGGCCGGGAUUCGUCCACGUACAUGCUUAGGAUGUUGACAUAAUGGCUUUAAACGACCCGUCUUGAAACACG
RNAcentral lists this ribosomal RNA (630 nucleotides) under Cryptococcus sp. RY-1. Its description in RNAcentral is "eukaryotic LSU rRNA". It matches the Rfam family "Eukaryotic large subunit ribosomal RNA", at positions 47 to 663 of the family's 3401-position model. Lineage: Eukaryota; Fungi; Basidiomycota; Tremellomycetes; Tremellales; Cryptococcaceae. The record is from RNAcentral.